GACAGAGGAUGCAAGCGUUAUCCGGAAUGAUUGGGCGUAAAGCGUCUGUAGGUGGCUUUUUAAGUCCGCCGUCAAAUCCCAGGGCUCAACCCUGGACAGGCGGUGGAAACUACCAAGCUGGAGUACGGUAGGGGCAGAGGGAAUUUCCGGUGGAGCGGUGAAAUGCGUAGAGAUCGGAAAGAGCACCAACGGCGAAAGCACUCUGCGGGGCCGGCGCUGACACUGAGAGACGAAAGCUAGGGGAGCGAAUGGG
This 253-nucleotide ribosomal RNA is filed under the name uncultured bacterium. RNAcentral describes it as "partial 16S ribosomal RNA". It matches the Rfam family "Bacterial small subunit ribosomal RNA", at positions 524 to 776 of the family's 1533-position model. The record is from RNAcentral.